Molecule: unclassified non-coding RNA, 302 nt
Filed under: fungal sp.
Lineage: Eukaryota; Fungi
Description: partial internal transcribed spacer region
Rfam family: Eukaryotic small subunit ribosomal RNA (bases 1-76)
Source: RNAcentral
UGCGUAAACCUUAACAUCUAGAGGAAGGAGAAGUCGUAACAAGGUUUCCGUAGGUGAACCUGCGGAAGGAUCAUUCACAUCCCUAAAAAAACAAAACUUCAAAGGCAUUUUCCCUCUGGAAUUUUGCUCUCUGUCAUGGAAACAUCGGCAUGAGGCUUUCAGAAACGGAGGUGUCCUUUACAAACCGUGUAACUUUUAUUACCAAAACUUUCCAUAUAUUUAAAACUGUACAAUUUGCUUGCUGUUUGAAAAACAAAAAUAUUAAAUCGUACAACUUUUAACAAUGGAUACCUUGGUUCUCA